GUUAUUUGUCAAAAUACCUUGAUAUAUGACUUAUAAUAUCUACUAUAUAAAAAUUGUUCUGUGAUAUACCUUCAAGAAAAAAGUAAACCAAAUAAAUAUAGAAAAGAAGUUUGGUGUGAUUUUCGAUGAGAUUCUUUCACAAGAGACCUUAUAACACAAAAAUUAACAGCUAUAAAUUUUCAAACAGCCUUCAUAAAAAAAAAACCAUAGCCCCUACCACAGUCAGCUACAAUAGGCCUUGAAAUAAGAAAUGUAAACAAUACAAACGAAAAAAGGAACGACCUGAUUAAUGUACCCAAAAAGAAACGAAAAAUCUAUCAUGCAACACAGCAACAACCAUUGAAUUACAGGCAG
This 354-nucleotide long non-coding RNA is filed under the name Mytilus galloprovincialis (Mediterranean mussel). The record is from RNAcentral. Lineage: Eukaryota; Metazoa; Mollusca; Bivalvia; Mytilida; Mytilidae.